CCUACGGGUUGCAGCAGUGGGGAAUAUUGCACAAUGGGCGCAAGCCUGAUGCAGCCAUGCCGCGUGUAUGAAGAAGGCCUUCGGGUUGUAAAGUACUUUCAGCGAGGAGGAAGGCGUUAAGGUUAAUAACCUUAGCGAUUGACGUUACUCGCAGAAGAAGCACCGGCUAACUCCGUGCCAGCAGCCGCGGUAAUGCGGAGGGUGCUAGCGUUAAUCGGAAUUACUGGGCGUAAAGCGCACGCAGGCGGUCUGUCAAGUCGGAUGUGAAAUCCCCGGGCUCAACCUGGGAACUGCAUUCGAAACUGGCAGGCUAGAGUCUUGUAGAGGGGAGUAGAAUUCCAGGUGUAGCGGUGAAAUGCGUAGAGAUCUGGAGGAAUACCGGUGGCGAAGGCGGCCCCCUGGACAAAGACUGACGCUCAGGUGCGAAAGCGUGGGGAGCAAACAGGAUUAGAUACCCCGGUAGUC
RNAcentral lists this ribosomal RNA (465 nucleotides) under uncultured bacterium. RNAcentral's name for it is "bacterial SSU rRNA". It matches the Rfam family "Bacterial small subunit ribosomal RNA", at positions 338 to 795 of the family's 1533-position model. The record is from RNAcentral.